This 497-nucleotide ribosomal RNA is filed under the name uncultured bacterium. RNAcentral's name for it is "partial 16S ribosomal RNA". It matches the Rfam family "Bacterial small subunit ribosomal RNA", at positions 28 to 507 of the family's 1533-position model. The record is from RNAcentral.
GACGAACGCUGGCGGCGUGCCUAAUACAUGCAAGUAGAACGCUGAAGAGAGGAGCUUGCUCUUCUUGGAUGAGUUGCGCACGGGUGAGUAACGCGUAUGUAACCUGCUUUGUAGCGGGGGAUAACUAUUGGAAACGAUAGCUAAUACCGCAUAACAAUGUAUGACACAUGUCAUUUAUUUGAAAGGGGCAAUUGCGCCACUACAAGAUGGAUCUGCGUUGUAUUAGGUAGUAGGUGAGGUAAUGGCUCACCUAGGGGACGAUGCAGAGCCGCACUGAGAGGGUGGUCAGCCAGCCUGGGAGUGUGACCCGGCACAGAGUGAUUCGGGAAGGAGCAGUAGUGAAUCUUGGGCAAGGAGGGCAGAACUGAGCGAGAAACGCGGCGUGAGGGAAGAAGGUUUUCGGAUCGGAAAGCUCGGUUGUAAGUCAAGAACGGGUGUGAGCGUGGAAAGUUCACACAGUGACGGUAGCUUACAAGAAAGAGACGGCUAACUACGUG